CCCAGGUCCGCAAACCCGGAGUACGGACUCCGCUGUAAAGUUUCGGUGGGGAUCGCCCGGGGUGCUCGGCCCGCGGAAACAGUUUCGUUCUUCCCACAGUUGGAACUGGUCGUUUUGUGACACUGUUCCACUACUUCGUGGCGGUGCUAGGCUCUCCCUCCGAUCCUUGGCCCGGGAAAUAAGCCAGGGUUUUACUCUUUUGUUGGUAAGCGUUUGUUGAAGGUGAAGGUCAGAGACAGUUCUAGAGGAAAAGCAUCUCCGCGAAAUCCACUCUCCCGCGGAGCGUCACAACCGUCCUCUCUCCAAAUGCCCCAAGUAUCCACAACCUACUACCAGGAGCCGGGUAUUUUGCAAGACCCCGGAGAACAAGAGUCAGUCACAUAGACAUACUCUCCAUCACACCUGUGGGACGUGGCAGAGCUCCGAAGCCAGUGCUUCCGCUCUUUGCAGUUCCCAUGCUCAUUCAUCCUCUAUACAAGUUCAAAACUACAUCGAGUUCUCCACGAUUCUUCUGUGGAAAGUGAAUGCAGGAUGGAAAUGCUCUGGUUGACCUGUUUCAUGGUCAUGAAGUGUCAUUACAGAGUCCAACCAGACUAAAAUAACAUAGGUGGCCCAUGUUUGUUAUCCUAGCACUCCAGAGGUGGAAACAUGAAGAUCACAAGUGACAGGCAAGCCUGGGUUACACAGCAAGUGCAAAGGCUGCUUGGACUGCAAAUCAAGACCCCCAUCUCAGCAAACAAGCAAUAAAAUAGCAUCUAUAGAUUCUG
Long non-coding RNA from Nannospalax galili (Upper Galilee mountains blind mole rat), 767 nucleotides. RefSeq lists it as uncharacterized. The record is from RefSeq and is a predicted model, not a curated record. The transcript is spliced from 2 exons. NCBI's taxonomy places the organism in Eukaryota, Metazoa, Chordata, Mammalia, Rodentia, Spalacidae.